Thamnophis elegans (Western terrestrial garter snake) is the source of this 686-nucleotide long non-coding RNA. RefSeq lists it as uncharacterized. The record is from RefSeq and is a predicted model, not a curated record. The transcript is spliced from 5 exons. Lineage: Eukaryota; Metazoa; Chordata; Lepidosauria; Squamata; Natricidae.
CUAGGUCGGAAACAUAAGGAAGAAAAGAGAAGGAAAAGUUUCUCAGUGUUCCUUCUGGGCUGCAUGCCGGUCGUUCUUAGAAGGACGGCAAAAGAAAAAACAGAGAACAAGAAAAGUUCAGGAAAGAACAAUUAUGAAAUGAAUGUAAGAGCUACUCUUCUAGAAGUCCCGUUGGAAAUGUGGAUUUUAUAGCAUCCAAAUGUUAUUUACAGAACAGAAAGCCAGAUUCUGCAACAAUGAGUGAAAAGAGGUGAAAUACAGAUUACAACACCACACCCUUGAAAACCUGGUGACCAAGUGAGCAAAGUUCAUCUCUCUCUCUCUCUGCGUGACCAGCUGGUGCAAGCAAGCUGUUUGAGUCCUGCUCCAUUCGAGGUGCUGCAGUGCUAUAUUUUCUGUACGAUAGCUGCAUUGUUCGUGUGACACCUGCCAAACUGGAUGCAGCUGGGCCAGAAGAGGCUGAAGAAGGCAGGAGCCUCUCUAACGGCAGCCAUCCACCCCUUCUUCUCAAUAAAGAGCCAGUUACAUCUGACUCAACCUCCAGCCAGUUCCAGAAUUGGUGUGAUGCUUCCACUCUCACGGAUUUUUGCAAUAGCGGCAAUCUGCCCGAAGUGGAAAUCAUCAGCCUUUUGGGGAACAACUACCCUUGUAUAAACUCCGGGCAGACACAGUAUUUGGAUAUGACC